ACCAUCAAUGACCCAUUGUUUCCCUGGUUGCAAAACCUUACUCUGCCACUGGCUGGGCCUCAUUUUAGCUUCUUCCCUCUAGCUGCAGCAGUCCCUGCUUUGGCUGCUUCUGUUCAUAGGGCUGGAGUCUCUAAGUGGUUCCUCUGUGCAGUUUUCCUCCCAGGCCACAAGGUGAGGGGACAAAGGAAGGCAGCACCUGGGUUUUAGUGCCCCCAAAGUUUGUGGGUAAAGUCUCCCCUGUACAGCUCUGGAUCCAGGAGGAGUUGGAGGGAGGGAUAGCCCCAGCUGAGCCUUGUUAUACACACACACACACACACAGACACCAAUGCAGCAGUCCCCGCUUUGGAUGCAUCUGUUCCUACUGGCUGGAGUCUCUGGCUGACUCCUUUCUGCAAUGCAUGAAUACUCUGCUUCAUCAGAUUCAGAACAAUCACAGGCCUAAGCAGCUGAACAAAUGGAGGAUGUGAUAUAUGCUGCUGGAGCAGCCCUGUACCAACCAAUUGUCCAAGUAUGGAUACAUCUGGACAACUCAAUGGCAGAGAUAAACUGCUGCUCUCACCAUGCACUUGGUAAAAACCUUCAGUGCUGACAAUAGGCCAAAGGGAAAUAUGGUGAACUGGUUAUCUCCUCCUCUUACCAUGAACCUCAGAAACCUUCUGUGGCCAGGGUGGAUUGCCACACAGAAAAAGGCAUCUGUAAGAUAAGGGCAGCAUACCAAUCACCUGGAUAUAGAGAAGUAUAAUUGACACAAUGGAAACCAUGUGAAAUUUCAACUUUUUGAUGUAUCUAUUCAGGUUUUGAAGGUCUAGAAUAGGACCGAGAACCCCUCUUGCUUUGGGUAUUAGGGAAAUACCGGGAAUAAAACCCCAUGCCUUGAUGCAGACAAGGCACUUCCUCUGUAGCUCCAAAGGAAUGUAGAGUCUGAACUUGUUUUAGAACAGACUCAUGACAUGGGUCCCUGAAAAGGGACAGAUGGUGGGGGAGGAAAUAGAAAGAAACUGCAGGAUAUAUAUGCUGAGUCCAUCGUGCUUAGUACCCACUUGUCUGAAGUGAUGGUUUGCUAUGCCUGUAGGACAUGGAAUAACUUGCUCCCAAAGGAAGGGAAAGGAACACGGAGAUCCAAGCUGGUAGAUAUGCUGUUCUUGACAGAGGAGUAAAAUGUUGCUCCAAGGCCUGAGAUUGCCUGGAAAAAGCAACUGAAGAAGCAGAAGGCGGAGGCCUCCUCUUCUGUGCUCUGUGGUUGCAUCUAGACUGUAACCAUGAUGAAUGGUGCAUAGUUACUGCCAUCAUCAUGACCCUCACAGCAGAAUCUGCUGCGUCCAAGGAAGCCUUCAGGGCCAAUCAAGAGACCAGAUGACCUUCUGCUAAGAUGGAUUGGAAUUCAUCCCUCGAGUCUUCUGGCAACUUAUUUAUAAAUUUAGACAUUGCCUCCCAAGUCAACAGGGCAUGGUGGCUGACAAUUCUAAGUUGUAAUCAGCAGCUGAAUAAAACUUCCAUCUAAAAAAGUCUAGCUUUUUUGCAUCCUUUUCUUUUGGGGUAGCCUUAGCCUGACUUUGGCAAUGCUUUUCAUUUACUCCAGCUACCACCAGUGAACCUGGUACAGGAUGUGACUAAAACUGUUCAAAACCUUGGGAAGGAACCUGAUAUUUCACUAGGUAUGCUUGUCUACAGGGGAUACAGAGAAUGAAGUUUGCUGGAGUGACUUAAUAGGCUGCAUUAUUGCCUAGUUUAGAGGGAGGGCUCCCUUCCCUGCUUGUAGUUGGGUGUACAAUAUAAACAAGUUUGUGAAGAUUUUCCUCCAUCUGAAUACCAUCAGAUUCUCAAUGACAACCUGGACUCUUUACAGUGGGAAGUGUAAGAACCCACUUCUGAUUCUGAUUAGGAGUACUCGUACUCGGAAGACCAGGGUGGAGCAGCACUGGGAAGAGUCACUGGAGACUGGUACCAAGAUCUGCACCCAAGACAACAGAGCUGGUGGCAGCAUUAGUGUCUUUCUAGCUAUUGGUACCAAAUGUUGUUGAAUACGUAUUGGAGGCCUACAUACCAUUGUUGACAAUGCUGACAAGACGGUACCAUCCCGGAGAUCAAGGGCAUUGAAGCAGUCACUAAUGCCAGUGCCAAAGUCUACCCAGUUUGCACUGAUACUGAUAGAGGACCUCGCCCUAGAGUAAAUGGGGAAUCCAGUACUGAAAGACAGCUGCAUAGGCCUCUGGCAUUGUUGAUACUAAGGGCAGGUCUGCCCUAGAAGCACUACAUCGAUGCAACUGCGUUGCUGUAGUGUGUCUAGUGAAGACGUUCU
Trachemys scripta elegans is the source of this 2299-nucleotide long non-coding RNA. RefSeq lists it as uncharacterized. The transcript has 3 exons. Lineage: Eukaryota; Metazoa; Chordata; Testudines; Emydidae. The record is from RefSeq and is a predicted model, not a curated record.